Molecule: long non-coding RNA, 1563 nt
Organism: Numida meleagris (helmeted guineafowl)
Lineage: Eukaryota; Metazoa; Chordata; Aves; Galliformes; Numididae
Source: Ensembl
GAAUUUCCAGAGAGUAGUUUAUCUGUUAAAACUAGGCGUAGCUAGAUGCUCAUCAUAUUAGGUUGCUGAAUACAAGCAAUAAGUGCUUUGGCUUCUUAUGAACUUCAUGAAAGUCCUUGUGUAUGUGUGGCUUCACCUACCGGCUCAGGCUUUUAAUCUGUAUCCCACAGCUGCACAAGUAGGAACACCCCUGUCAUCCAACACCUAUCUCUAAGCAGCAGUCAGGAGCAGAAGAGAUGAAAAUACCUUCUUGGGGCUCUCCAGCAGGAUCUCCAGUUCUGCAGGUGCACCUCUGAACUCAUUUACCAAAGUACGCCAAGCCCAUCCUGUGCCAGCAAAACCUCUGUUAAAGAUUUGGCAACAAGAUGUCCAGAUCUGCUGCGGCCACCAACACCACCGUGGUGGAUGUGCUGGAGAAGGCCUUGAGAAAGGGCAGCUCGUUUUCUCGGCCAUCCAUGUCUUUGCGCAUCAUAUAUCACGCCUAUGUGUCCAGAGGAAAGAAAGAUCCCCUCCAACCCAGCAGCCCUGUAACGGAUGGACCUUCCCGAUUUGCAGCUAGCUGACAGCUUGUGAGAACAACAGCUUGAAUUACUGAAAGAACUUUUCCCACUGAGUUAAUCUGCAAUGGAUGUAGGUGACCUUCUAAAGGCAUCUAUUAAUCAAAAAACCCGUGCCCAUUCACUGCGCUAGGCUGAGCCCUUUGGGGGAAGGGGGGGUACUAAUUUCCCUCUGAGAUAAAUCAUAAUUUGACAAUAAUCAUCUGCCCUAAUCACUCCGAUUCUUCCCUUUAAUUAUUUGUACACACAGCUCUUCCUGCCUGGGAAACACAAAGGAUGACAUUAAACGUGGCCAGGGAGGGGUGGGCAGCGGGGCUGCGAGGCUGUCACCCAGCACUGUCCGCCAUGGGGCCAGCAUGGUGACACCCCACAGUGACACCCCACGGUGACACCCCACUGUGACACCCCCAGCCCUAAAUCUGUGUCUGUGGACAGAUAUACGCAGUGUGUAGUCGACAAGGAGCAAGGACAGUGAUGGCAGCUGGGCUCCGAGCGCAGCAGCAUCACUGCAGAGAUGUGCCUUGGUCUCUGCACGGUGCAGUCUGGGAGGCAGGUCUUUCAGGAUGUACACAUCAGCCCCCCCAAUACGAGCAAAAUCGGGGACAGCCCCCACAAGCUUCCUCAGAGCAGCUGGGCUGAUGUACAGUAAUUCCCACAGCCCAGGUCAGUAGGAUGUCUCACAAGCUAUAACACGGACCUACAGCACCAUAUGCUGGCCUAGUUUAGCAUCUACACAGCAGUGCAGCCUGCCUGGCUGCAUCGCUGCUCCCAGAGCACAGCAGAGCAGAGCUGGCCACCUGGCCCGCAGAGCAGAGCAGGCACUUGGGGACCUGCAGGGCUGCUGGUGCAGCUGGGAGAGGCAGCUCUGCUGCUGUGUGCGUGGGGACCGGCCAGCAGCAUGCCGGGACAGGCCGUCGGUGGGAGUGGGGCACACAGGUAGGACACGCUGGGCCCAGCCAUGUGAAGCCACUCUGUGGUUCAAGCAGUGCCUGCAGUGAAAGAGACG